This 162-nucleotide ribosomal RNA is filed under the name uncultured bacterium. Its description in RNAcentral is "partial 16S rRNA". It matches the Rfam family "Bacterial small subunit ribosomal RNA", at positions 358 to 511 of the family's 1533-position model. The record is from RNAcentral.
GGAAUCUUCCACAAUGGACGCAAGUCUGAUGGAGCAACGCCGCGUGAGUGAAGAAGGUUUUCGGAUCGUAAAGCUCUGUUGUAAGAGAAGAACGUGUGUGAGAGUGGAAAGUUCACACAGUGACGGUAACUUACCAGAAAGGGACGGCUAACUACGUGCCAG